CUAACUAGGAAACUUCGCUUGCUUUAAACUCUCAUCUAGAGAUGAGCCAGCUUAUUACCAGUAAUAACUGUGUAUAAAGGAAUGAGCCAUGCCGUGAGGGAUAGUCCCUGACAAUUCUGGCCUCAGUGGUAAAGUAGGUAGGCAGGUAGAUUUGACUGAGAGUGUCUUUUCUAUCUGUUGCACCGUAGCACCGGUGCGGACGAAGAGAAUUUCUCCAGAAGUGGUGAGAGGACAGAUAAAAUGAAAUGCUGGGGUAUGCUCAUCUACAGGCACAAAAUCAGGCUCUCAUAUUAACUGGAGCCACAUGGUAUUAUCAUGGUGGAAGUGAAUAACAACAGUGCUCCUGGAAAUCUGUAAGACUGCAUGCCACCAGCUGAAAAUACUGGGCCAUAAUUAAUUUUACAGCAAGCUAGGCAUUCAGAUGUACAGAAGGUACUUGUGGAAAAAUGAAACAAAGGAGACACGAAUGCAGCCAGCUGUAUGAUAAACAAGAUUUUAUGAAUGUGCUUGUUUGUAUCUAAGGAAGAACUGAUCUGCCUUGAAGACUGUCUGGUUUUCCCCAGCUUGUGUAAUAAAAGAUAUUACC
Chroicocephalus ridibundus (black-headed gull) is the source of this 586-nucleotide long non-coding RNA. RefSeq lists it as uncharacterized. The transcript is spliced from 3 exons. NCBI's taxonomy places the organism in Eukaryota, Metazoa, Chordata, Aves, Charadriiformes, Laridae. The record is from RefSeq and is a predicted model, not a curated record.